CCAAUAGCGUAUAUUAAAGUUGUUGCAGUUAAAAAGCUCGUAGUUGAAUUUCGGGGUUAGUAGAUUGGUCAUGCCUUUGGUAUGUACUGGUCUUACUGAUUCCUCCUUCCUGAUGAACCGUAAUGCCAUUAAUUUGGUGUUGCGGGGAGACUGGACUGUUACUUUGAAAAAAUUAGAGUGUUUAAAGCAAGCUAACGCUUGAAUACAUUAGCAUGGAAUAAUGAAAUAGGACGUUCGAUCUUAUUUUGUUGGUUUCUAGGAUUGACGUAAUGAUUAAUAGGGAUAGUUGGGGGCAUUAGUAUUCAAUUGGCAGAGGUGAAAUUCUUGGAUUUAUUGAAGACUAAAUACUGCGAAAGCAUUUGCCAAGGAUGUUUUCAUUAAUCAAGAACGAAAGUUAGGGGAUCGAAGACGAUCAGAUACCGUCGUAGUCUUUACCAUAAACUAUGCCGACUAGGGAUCGGAUGAUGUUAAUUUUUUAAUGACUCAUUCGGCGCCUUACG
This 500-nucleotide ribosomal RNA is filed under the name uncultured Glomeromycotina. RNAcentral's name for it is "partial small subunit ribosomal RNA". It matches the Rfam family "Eukaryotic small subunit ribosomal RNA", at positions 591 to 1092 of the family's 1831-position model. Lineage: Eukaryota; Fungi; Glomeromycota. The record is from RNAcentral.